CACGUAGGGACCGAGCGUUGCCCGGAUUUAUUGGGCGUAAAGAGCUCGUAGGCGGUUCAGCAAGUCGGGUGUGAAAACUCUGGGCUCAACCCAGAGACGCCACCCGAUACUGCUGUGACUAGAGUCCGGUAGGGGAGUGGGGAAUUCCUGGUGUAGCGGUGAAAUGCGCAGAUAUCAGGAGGAACACCGGUGGCGAAGGCGCCACUCUGGGCCGGCACUGACGCUGAGGAGCGAAAGCGUGGGUAGCAAACAGG
RNAcentral lists this ribosomal RNA (254 nucleotides) under uncultured bacterium. Its description in RNAcentral is "partial 16S ribosomal RNA". It matches the Rfam family "Bacterial small subunit ribosomal RNA", at positions 524 to 776 of the family's 1533-position model. The record is from RNAcentral.